UUAGAAUUUACUUGGAAAGCUAACACAUAAGAAAAUGUCUUCUUUGUAGAGUACUUCUUGUAUGAAAUACAUUUUAUAUACUUGACUUCUAAUCUAA
This is a non-coding RNA of Arabis alpina (gray rockcress), 97 nucleotides long. The record is from Rfam. NCBI's taxonomy places the organism in Eukaryota, Viridiplantae, Streptophyta, Magnoliopsida, Brassicales, Brassicaceae.